GAUGAAGAAAGCAGCGAAAUGCGAUACGUAAUGUGAAUUGCAGAAUUCAGUGAAUCAUCGAAUCUUUGAACGCAUAUUGCGCUCUCUGGUAUUCCGGAGAGCAUGCUUGUUUGAGUAUCAGUAAACACCUCAACUUCCAUAUCUUUUUUGAAAUGGGAGUUGGACUUGAGUGAUCCCAACGCUUUUCCUCACCGAAAAGUGGCGGGUUACUUGAAAUGCAGGUGCAGCUGGACUUUUCUCUGAGCUAUAAGCAUAUCUAUUUAGUCUGCCUAAAAAACAGAUUAUUACCUUUGCUGCAGCUAACAUAAAGGAGAUUAGUUCUUGUGCUGACUGAUGCAGGAUUCACAAAGACGGCUUCGGCCGACUUUGUAAACUCGAUCUCAAAUCAAGUAAGACUACCCGCUGAACUUAAGCAUAUCAAUAAGCGGAGGA
Molecule: unclassified non-coding RNA, 432 nt
Filed under: soil metagenome
Description: partial contains 5.8S ribosomal RNA, internal transcribed spacer 2, and large subunit ribosomal RNA
Rfam family: 5.8S ribosomal RNA (bases 1-120)
Source: RNAcentral